UGCAGUCGAACGAUGAUCUCCAGCUUGCUGGGGGGAUUAGUGGCGAACGGGUGAGUAACACGUGAGUAACCUGCCCUUGACUCUGGGAUAAGCCUGGGAAACCGGGUCUAAUACUGGAUACGACCUUCUGGCGCAUGCCAUGUUGGUGGAAAGCUUUUGUGGUUUUGGAUGGACUCGCGGCCUAUCAGCUUGUUGGUGGGGUAAUGGCCUACCAAGGCGACGACGGGUAGCCGGCCUGAGAGGGUGACCGGCCACACUGGGACUGAGACACGGCCCAGACUCCUACGGGAGGCAGCAGUGGGGAAUAUUGCACAAUGGGCGCAAGCCUGAUGCAGCGACGCCGCGUGAGGGAUGAAGGCCUUCGGGUUGUAAACCUCUUUCAGUAGGGAAGAAGCCGCUCCUUUUUGGGGGUGGUGACGGUACCUGCAGAAGAAGCGCCGGCUAACUACGUGCCAGCAGCCGCGGUAAUACGUAGGGCGCAAGCGUUAUCCGGAAUUAUUGGGCGUAAAGAGCUCGUAGGCGGUUUGUCGCGUCUGCCGUGAAAGUCCGGGGCUUAACUCCGGAUCUGCGGUGGGUACGGGCAGACUAGAGUGCAGUAGGGGAGACUGGAAUUCCUGGUGUAGCGGUGAAAUGCGCAGAUAUCAGGAGGAACACCGAUGGCGAAGGCAGGUCUCUGGGCUGUAACUGACGCUGAGGAGCG
RNAcentral lists this ribosomal RNA (700 nucleotides) under Arthrobacter sp. MJN17. RNAcentral's name for it is "bacterial SSU rRNA". It matches the Rfam family "Bacterial small subunit ribosomal RNA", at positions 56 to 755 of the family's 1533-position model. The record is from RNAcentral. Lineage: Bacteria; Bacillati; Actinomycetota; Actinomycetes; Micrococcales; Micrococcaceae.